UAGGGAAUCUUCCGCAAUGGGCGAAAGCCUGACGGAGCAACGCCGCGUGAGUGAUGAAGGUCUUCGGAUCGUAAAACUCUGUUAUUAGGGAAGAACAAAUGUGUAAGUAACUAUGCACGUCUUGACGGUACCUAAUCAGAAAGCCACGGCUAACUACGUGCCAGCAGCCGCGGUAAUACGUAGGUGGCAAGCGUUAUCCGGAAUUAUUGGGCGUAAAGCGCGCGUAGGCGGUUAGAAAAGUCUGAAGUGAAAGGCAGUGGCUCAACCAUUGUAGGCUUUGGAAACUGUUUAACUUGAGUGCAGAAGGGGAGAGUGGAAUUCCAUGUGUAGCGGUGAAAUGCGUAGAUAUAUGGAGGAACACCGGUGGCGAAAGCGGCUCUCUGGUCUGUAACUGACGCUGAGGCUCGAAAGCGUGGGGAGCGAACAGG
Molecule: ribosomal RNA, 428 nt
Filed under: Bacteroidota bacterium
Lineage: Bacteria; Pseudomonadati; Bacteroidota
Description: Bacteroidetes bacterium partial 16S ribosomal RNA
Rfam family: Bacterial small subunit ribosomal RNA
Source: RNAcentral